RNAcentral lists this ribosomal RNA (301 nucleotides) under Hydrogenophaga sp. Expt2_P4WS_D08. RNAcentral describes it as "bacterial SSU rRNA". It matches the Rfam family "Bacterial small subunit ribosomal RNA", at positions 1044 to 1351 of the family's 1533-position model. Lineage: Bacteria; Pseudomonadati; Pseudomonadota; Betaproteobacteria; Burkholderiales; Comamonadaceae. The record is from RNAcentral.
CAUGGCUGUCGUCAGCUCGUGUCGUGAGAUGUUGGGUUAAGUCCCGCAACGAGCGCAACCCUUGUCAUUAGUUGCUACGAAAGGGCACUCUAAUGAGACUGCCGGUGACAAACCGGAGGAAGGUGGGGAUGACGUCAAGUCCUCAUGGCCCUUAUAGGUGGGGCUACACACGUCAUACAAUGGCCGGUACAAAGGGUCGCAAACCCGCGAGGGGGAGCCAAUCCAUCAAAGCCGGUCGUAGUCCGGAUCGCAGUCUGCAACUCGACUGCGUGAAGUCGGAAUCGCUAGUAAUCGUGGAUCA